This 91-nucleotide transfer RNA is filed under the name Rathayibacter tanaceti. RNAcentral describes it as "tRNA-Gln". Lineage: Bacteria; Bacillati; Actinomycetota; Actinomycetes; Micrococcales; Microbacteriaceae. The record is from RNAcentral.
GCGGCGGUGGCCGAGGCGGGGGCCAGCGCCCUGCUCGCCGGCGAGGGACUCUACGGGUUCGUGCCUGACGAUCUCGUCGUGGCCUGCCGUG